GGUGCAUGGUUGUCGUCAGCUCGUGUCGUGAGAUGUUGGGUUAAGUCCCGCAACGAGCGCAACCCUCGACCUUAGUUGCCAGCAUUCAGUUGGGCACUCUAAGGUGACUGCCGGCUAAAAGUCGGAGGAAGGUGGGGAUGACGUCAAAUCAUCAUGCCCCUUAUGACCUGGGCUACACACGUGCUACAAUGGGCGGUACAAAGGGUCGCGAACCCGCGAGGGGGAGCCAAUCCCAAAAAGCCGCUCUCAGUUCGGAUUGCAGGCUGCAACUCGCCUGCAUGAAGCCGGAAUCGCUAGUAAUCGCGGAUCAGCAUGCCCGCGGUCGAAUACGUUCCCGGGCCUU
RNAcentral lists this ribosomal RNA (343 nucleotides) under uncultured Anoxybacillus sp. Its description in RNAcentral is "bacterial SSU rRNA". It matches the Rfam family "Bacterial small subunit ribosomal RNA", at positions 1040 to 1382 of the family's 1533-position model. Lineage: Bacteria; Bacillati; Bacillota; Bacilli; Caryophanales; Anoxybacillaceae. The record is from RNAcentral.